RNAcentral lists this ribosomal RNA (403 nucleotides) under uncultured bacterium. Its description in RNAcentral is "bacterial SSU rRNA". It matches the Rfam family "Bacterial small subunit ribosomal RNA", at positions 355 to 776 of the family's 1533-position model. The record is from RNAcentral.
UGGGGAAUAUUGCACAAUGGAGGAAACUCUGAUGCAGCGACGCCGCGUGAACGAUGAAGGCUUUCGAGUCGUAAAGUUCUUUUAUAUGGGAAGAUAAUGACGGUACCAUAAGAAAAAGCCCCGGCUAACUACGUGCCAGCAGCCGCGGUAAUACGUAGGGGGCUAGCGUUGUCCGGAAUCACUGGGCGUAAAGGGUUCGCAGGCGGAAAUGCAAGUCAGAUGUAAAAGGCAGUAGCUUAACUACUGUAAGCAUUUGAAACUGCAUAUCUUGAGAAGAGUAGAGGUAAGUGGAAUUUUUAGUGUAGCGGUGAAAUGCGUAGAUAUUAAAAAGAAUACCGGUGGCGAAGGCGACUUACUGGGCUCAUUCUGACGCUGAGGAACGAAAGCGUGGGUAGCAAACAGG